UUAAAACGAAAAAAAAUCUGUUGAAAGUUCACAAAUACAAAACGUUUUGUUUAUAGUGGUGCGCAAUAACGAUUGCAGAACGAAGCGAUAGCAGAAAAGUAAUAAAAUCUUUCACAAACAUCGUAAUAUGGAAUUGUGACAAAUCCAAACCGGCAUUCAUGUGCUUUAAAUAACAUUCUUUAAAUUAUGCGUGUGGCUGGUAUCUGUUUUAAAUAAUAAACCGUAUAAUUAACAGAGGCAUCCUCUAAGACUCGGUACCAUAAUGAGAUCGUUUACAUUUGAUUAUCCCACCCAUCUUAGGAGCAUGGUGGAAACCUUCGCAAAUAAAGCAUCUACACAGCCCCACAGCGGUGAUAGCUAUAUGGAAAUCGCGAAUCAACUUGUGUGGUUUCCUUUUGUUUCUUUAAAUACGACUAUGUCAUCAACAGUUGUUUCUAGUGAAUGUAGUAAGGAAUUUUGCGUCUUUCAGAAUAAUCCACUCAAGAGAUUGACGUUGAAUACUACUAUAAAUUCCGGGGUUUUUCAUCUGCAUGUUACGUAGGUUAAAUGGAGAAAGUUAACAAUAAGUAUUUCUACAGAUUUCCAAGACAAACUAAAGAGUUGCAUCUGAUGUGGAGUAGUCCUUGUAAGCUGUGAAGGCAGAGGGAGUUUUGGCUAGUGGAGUUUCAAAAGCAGACUUAAGACUCAGAUAAUCGAAAAAGUCCAAGAUUCAUAGGAAUGCUUUAACAGGGCUACCAGAACUUAAAACAAAGCUACAUCAUGGGAAAAAUGAAUGAAAACCGCUUAAAGCUUUGUACGAUAGCAGCAACAAGAGCUAGGUAAUGGACAUACAAAGACAAGGUAUUUGCUCUGUCCUUAUACAAGCAAAACCUUUGCCCAUACAGGUAUUUGUUAGUUCAUUUUUGCCUUCCUUCUGUGACUCAUAUGAAACCUCUGUUGUGUGUUCCACCUUCCAAGCCAGGAUUGAGUCCUGCAGUGAUGAAUGUAAUAAAAGCAGAAGCCAAAGCAGUGCACAACAAUGUUAAAUAUUUUGCUUUGUUCCUUGAUGAAGUGUCUUUGGAGACGCUUUGUUCCUUGAUGAAGUGUCUUUGGAGACAAUUUUUUAUUAUGAUGUGAAUAAGCAGCAAAUCAGUGGGUUUCACGAUAUAAGAAGGGCAAAUAUAUGUGCAGACCAUGAUGUGUUGGUAGUCUGGUCAGAGUCAUAUGCAAAAUUUGGAGGCAGGUAGCCGCAUCUCUCUUCACUCAGAGCUCAGUUUCAGAUGCAGUUCCCUCCGUGUCUAAGUAUCUACAUUACCUGGGAGAGAACAUCCUGCAGACGUAGAUUGUAGGGAAUGCCUGAGUAGGCAUACUCUGUUUACAACAGCGAUAACUUGAAGCAUAAGUAUUCAAAGUGAUUGUAAGACUGGCGCACUGAACUGCUGCAGAAACAAAGCGAUGUAUAGAUGUCAGAUGAUAAUCUUGUGUUCAUCAUCAAAAUGAAAGUUGUAACACACUCAGGAAAUGAGCACAGAAGAGCAGAUGUAGGAAUCAAGUGUCACUGCAUUCGGUGAGGUUGUAAUGGAGUUGGUUUGCGGUAGGAUGAAACCCAGUGCUGGUCCAUGGGCCUACUGUUCUCAAAAAGUACGUUGCGGCUGCUGAGCUUAACUCUAAAUCUGAAGAACAGAAAGUGUCACAUGCCUUCACAUCAUGAGACAGUGAAAGAAGGUACAAAUGUAAUCCAGGACAUUAGCGCAAAAUGUGAUCACGAACUUUACGCCAUCACCUCUCAUCCCUUUGUCACCCAAAUACUGGUAUUGAAAAUUUUCCACCACCAGGAUGACUUGCAUCCAAGUUGAGAGCCACCACACAGAACUUUGUUAGCAACCUUGGUUAUGGAGAUGGGGCCAUCUCACCACAAUCGUAGAAAUUUCAAAGCAAUAGGCCUACUGCUGUGUUAACAUUGCCAAGUUCUGUAAACAUUCUCCUGUUUGUUUUUACCCCAAAUGUCAUAUAAGAAUGGGAUCCAACACACUCUCUACAUCAUUUGUCCACUAAAUUCAAAUGGUCGGUGGAGGAAAGAUGUUUGUUUAUGUUCAUCCAUAAAUAAACAUUUAUUUGCACUCAAUGUCAUCAAGAUUAAAGCUGAUAACUGAAGAUCUAGCUGAAGCCUCUUCAGGCUUCUUAUACUUAAAUGCCAAUACAUAUAUUCCCUAACGGUAUUUGUGGACAACAGAAACUUUAAUGAACUCGGCAAUUCACAACCACAGUACUACAGGUAGAAAUAAUUUACUUCUCCUGCUUUAAAAGGGAGUUUUAUAUUCUGGUGCAAAAGAUUGUAACAGGUGGACUGUAGAAAAGAAACUAAACAUUCCCACCCAUCCAUAUAAACGGCAAGUUGACAUAUCCUGAGCAUGUGAAAUUGUUGAAAACAAGUGACCAGUCAGUGUGUAAAAAAGAGUCGAGCUAAGACACUAAAAGUAAGUUGUCAGUCAGUGUGUGAAAAUAAUCAAGCUGUAUACGGAAAAAAAAGAGGAAGUAUCCAGUCAAUGUGUGAAAGCAAACAAGCUACUGCAUGUUUGUUUUGCUUCACAAUUGCUAAAUAUGUAUGGGAAUUGGACAUACAUCCUAAUCUCCUUCUCCCCUACGUCUCUGUUUCCUCCUGUCGCCUACCAUCUCCUUCCCCCUCUCUCUGUCCAUCUCCUCCUCUGCCCUCUCUAUAUCCAUUUCUUCCCUCCCUGCCAAUGGCCAUCUCUUCUCUCCCCCUUCUCUCUCUGAGCUUGAGCCUUGCUUCUUAUUACAAUUUUAGUUUCCAUAGUAGUAUUCUAAUCAUAAACCAUAAAUACAAUGUUCCUGUUUCCUGUGAAAACAGAUUGCAAGGAAUAAAACAAAACAGUAUAGUUUUGUGUUUACAGUUUGCAUUUAAAAAAUAUAUAAUGAGGUAGAACAUAUAUGGAAGAAAUAAUUUGUCUAGCAGUUUAAGUGCCCAGCUAUCAUAAUUGAAACUGAUUGUGAGAAAGAAAACAAAACUAUACAUGUUCACAGCAGAGCAAGGCAAACAUUUUCGUUGGCACAGUCAGUUUUAACAGAAAACUGGUAGUUAGUCUUUAAAAGAAUAUAUGGCCUGUGUCUCUCUGAAUGUUUAUAAGGGUAUCAUGUAAAAAUUUGAAAUAAAUUGGUCAAGACCUUUUUGAGAUUUCUGCUAACAAUGUUUCCCAUUACCAUAUACAAUUAAAAAAAU
Molecule: long non-coding RNA, 3217 nt
Organism: Schistocerca serialis cubense
Lineage: Eukaryota; Metazoa; Arthropoda; Insecta; Orthoptera; Acrididae
Exons: 3
Source: RefSeq, a predicted model, not a curated record